This 253-nucleotide ribosomal RNA is filed under the name uncultured bacterium. RNAcentral describes it as "partial 16S ribosomal RNA". It matches the Rfam family "Bacterial small subunit ribosomal RNA", at positions 524 to 776 of the family's 1533-position model. The record is from RNAcentral.
UACAGAGGGUGCUAGCGUUGUUCGGAAUCAUUGGGCGUAAAGGGCGUGUAGGCGGUUUGUUAAGUCAUGUGUGAAAUCCCUCGGCUCAACCGGGGAAGGACGCAUGAAACUGGCAAGCUAGAGUACCAAAGAGGGGGGUGGAAUUCCCGGUGUAGCGGUGAAAUGCGCAGAUAUCGGGAGGAACACCGGUGGCGAAGGCGGUUCUCUGGGCCUGUACUGACGCUGAGGAGCGAAAGCGUGGGGAGCGAACAGG